Molecule: long non-coding RNA, 716 nt
Filed under: Solanum tuberosum (potato)
Lineage: Eukaryota; Viridiplantae; Streptophyta; Magnoliopsida; Solanales; Solanaceae
Description: long non-coding RNA (STUB_LNC004328)
Source: RNAcentral
UUGUGCAAAGUGCACUUAUAGAGAGCAACACCGGGAGAGAUGACCGAAUUCUCUACAAGAAGUUGAUCGACAUGAACUUGUGAAGUUUGUUGCAGGAUUAGCUAGUGGAUUAUUAUCAAAUUUCAGUGCUGCCUUUUCAAUGAAUUGUUUAAUGGUGAACAAACGAUGCCCUAGAAUAGACUUGAAUUAUUGGCUAGUGAUUAAAUAAUCUAAAACCGAAUCAUUACAGAAUAGUUGAUACUCGUGCAAAGUAUUUUUCAUAGUGGGCAUUCAGUUCUUACUCAGUGUGCAAUAUGGCUAUCUCCAAUAUGACGAUUAUAUUCUCUAGCCUAUGCCAGACAAUGUACAAGGCAGGUGGAAGUUGCAGAAUCUGUCUGUCUCUACGAUGAUAUUCGUCUUUAAACAUAUUACCCUCCAACUUAUUUCCCUUCUUAUUAAGUUAUGGUUUAUCAUUCUGUUGUUGUGUUGGUUGGGUUGGGGGUUUGGGGUUAUAUCGUCUCGCGGUUAUGGAGAUGUUUUUUGUUUUUUUGUCUUUGAUGUAGGUGUGAGCAGGCACAGAUUUAUAAAGCAUAUAACUACGAUCGAAAUUUAGGAAGGUGAAAACAUCUGACGUGAGUGUGCACAUGUAAAAAUGGCGAAUGCCUGUGUGAGCAGGCACAGUUAGUUGGUGAAUCACCCUAUAUAUAUGGUCAAAAUGUUCUUUACGUGUAUAUAUA